AGACUUUACAGAGUGCACAUGAAGGCAACAUCUGUCUCCUCACGGCAUCCAGGGCUUUUGUUGGUCCCCAGCUUUUGUUGCCCUCCCCUGCAUGAAUCAGGGACGUUGCAAAUAUUUAAAACAGGCAGCACAUUAGGCCUCCACACCAAUUAUUAUUUAUCUAGGCUUGCCAAAAUGUAUAGUUGCCCCUCCACCCAGCCCUUCCUCCCCAGCCUUCCUGUGAAUGGAUGCUUUGUUUGAGGAUCCGGGUUCCAGUCUGGCUGUGGGAGGGAUGCUGUGGCUGCUUUGCAUCGAUCAAUUACAGUCUGUGAAAUAACUGUUGAGUCCAAAGCUCACGUCUGCCAGGUCGACAAAGACCCCAGACAGUGAGGCCUUACGGCCGUUGAGGACAACAGAGACAAUUCCACUGUUACUGAUGAAUCCUUUUGACUCUUAAACUGAGGUUAUAAUUUUUUAAUAGCUCUAUUGUUUGUUUUUUUAUUUCUUCAACAGAAAUGUUAUCCAGUUUUGUGACUUUCCUCACAUGCAUCUGUAUAGACACCAUCUUUGAAUUGUUGAAGAGUCAGACUGAAUAAAUGCAGUAAAAGUCAUAAUUACCAACCAAAAAGUAUCAUUUGAAAACCUAAAGCCACCAGGAUUAAGACGUGUGAAUCUUUCACAGGAUCAGAGUGCGUCCUCACACGCACAUUCAUGAACUUCUGUUACCGGUGUCAGUUUGCUCGGCUCAGCGUUGGGUUUCAUUCUCCAAGAAGAAAAACAAGAAAAGAAAAGCAGAGAGGAGAACGGAGACAAAUCAACCCUCAUCUGCAGAAUGUCACGCAUGGGGAGGGAUGUUCAUGGUUUGUAUCCGGGUCAGCUGGCUAGGGUUCACACUGUGCGGGCCAAAGACUGCGGAUUUUAUCCUCUCUCCAUAAGUAUGGCCCAUAAGUCUGCUGAGUGCUCGGAGCCUGGAGGUGAAAGGGGGCAGCCCGGUUUUGACGUCCUCGCCCUGAGAGCCCAGAGCCUGGAUCAGAGAGCUGAGGAGAAACUCCAGCGUCCUCCUCAGACAACCUACCAGGAGCACUUUGGAUCUCCAUGUCUUUUCUUUCAUCGCUCUUAGCUUGCUGUUUUCUAUAAACCUUAAAAGAAAUGUGAAGCAGAAAAGAUGCAUUCAAACAAGUGAGUGCAUUUUUCUACUGUGGCCACAGGAGGGCGCUAAUGUUUGAUUUCUGCUUUUUUAUGUUGCAAUGCAAGAGAUGUGUGUUAAACAAUUAUGAAAUGGAUCCAUGUUUGUAGCUUUACUUUCCCUUUAACAAUAAGGAAGAACUAAAAAAAAAUGUUUGUUAUGUAAUUUGUGGCUUUCUUUCCUUUCAGUAACAGCUGCAGAUCCAGUUUGGAAUAUUUCAGCUAUGUGAGGCGUUUUGUAAUCUCUUCAUCAACUCGUUGACUGCUGGGAACCAGAUGAAUUCCGGCAUCUAAAGACAAACGUCUGGAGGUUAAACUGCAGCAAAUUCAGUCACUUUAAUUCGUGGCUCAGCUUCUGUUCACAAAUAUUCACUGAUGUUUUUGCAGCUCAAGGAUGAUGUGAGUUUUACACAAACUGUACAAGACUGUAUUAGGGAACUUAAAGUUUUUUUCUGAUUUAAUUUGAGGCUUUAUUCUAAUUUCUUUGGCUUUUCAGAAAUAGUUUUUUUUUAUUAUUUGAUCAGCCCUUCAACAUCGACCCAUAAUUAAGGAUAAAAAUAAAACGAAAUCAUGGUUUGAACUUUGAACAGUAUGGAAUUGGACUCGACUUUUUCUAAAUGCCUCGAAUUUGUGAUCUUUUAGUUUUUGGGAGCAUCAAA
Molecule: non-coding RNA, 1823 nt
Organism: Oryzias latipes (Japanese medaka)
Lineage: Eukaryota; Metazoa; Chordata; Actinopteri; Beloniformes; Adrianichthyidae
Source: RefSeq, a predicted model, not a curated record